RNAcentral lists this long non-coding RNA (1531 nucleotides) under Malus domestica (apple). RNAcentral describes it as "long non-coding RNA (MDOM_LNC012893)". The record is from RNAcentral. Lineage: Eukaryota; Viridiplantae; Streptophyta; Magnoliopsida; Rosales; Rosaceae.
AACGGCUUUCGAUCCUUCCAACCUUUCUGCAAGGAGGUGUCUUCCUCCACUUCUCUUACUUUGGGUCGAAGCAGCUAGGUUGAGAGAAGUCUCAUGUUGAUCAAUGUUUUGAUGAUUAGCUCGAUCCUCAUCAGGGAUAACCAUGUCGAAGGAAGGUGACCCUCCUUGUUGGGAGGCAUCCAGAUGAUGGUUGAUGUCCACAGGGAUAACGAGUUCGCGUGUUUGAGUACGCCUAGUUUCGUGGCGCAUCUCAAAGUGCUUCUCAUACUACUCCUGGAGGACCUCAUUCUUCGAUGCUAUCUUGUUGUUUUGAGAUUCUAGCUCAUCGACUUUAGCUUGAAGAGCAACCCUCUUUCCUUCAUUCUUUCGUUGUUUCGCACUAGGUACAAGAUGGGUGUCAUUCUGUGUGCUGUGGCUUCCUUCGCUCCCCAUGUUGGAGAGGGAUGUCUGGUCAAAAGAAAGUGUACGAAUGGUGGAAACCAGUUUAACAAAGCUGAAGAGAGUGAGAAUAAGUGUCGUUCCCACAGAAGGCGCCAAAUGUUGAUGCACAAAAUCAGUGAGGACUUUGGUACAACAGAAAAUGUUAAGUUUGUAACCUUCGCUAGAUUGCUCUCGUCACUGGUGUGGAUAAGUAUGUAAAUGGAUAGAGACAGGGAAGCAAACACAAGAUGUUGGUGGUUCACCCAGAUUGGCUACGUCCACGGAGUAUAAGAGUUCUCAUUAAUUGUGAAGGGUUUACACAAGUACAUAGGUUCAAGCUCUCCUUUAGUGAGUACAAGUGAAUGAUUUAGUACAAAUGACAUUAGGAAAUGUUGUGAGAGAAUGAUCUCUAUUUAUAGAAGAGAGUUUCUAGUUUCAUUCUGACAUUGACACGUGUUGUGUUGUGAUUGGCUUCUGAUGUGACACGUGUCGCAUUAUGAUUAGUUUCUAAUGUCGACACGUGUCGCGUUGUGAUUGGCCUUCUGGUUGGAGGGAAACUCUUCUGGCUUCUGGGUCCUUAACGGUAUAACAUUGACUGGUGCUCAGUAGUUUCGGGAUUGGUCAAGUAUGGUACAAACACAACUAAGUCAAAAAAUAAUAUACUUAUACAUAGUAGUUCUACUAGUAGUAUCACCAAUGUCUUCUAUAAUAAAAUGCAACAACUAUUAAUAGGUUGUUAAGUUAAGACAAUACUGAUGAUGUUGACAAUGAACCAUGUGUGGAUGCAAAUUUUCGCCUUCCUUUGAUUAACGAAUAUGUACCUGCAAAAUAAUAACACCUAAGAUUUGGGCCAAAAGCCUCACGUGCCCACGAUGAAUUUGGAGGGAGGGGGGAGGGGGACUUUGGCCAAAGAAUGUCUAACUCCAAAGUUAGAAUUAUGAGAAGAAUGUAUUUGAGUGUUUGUGGGUAGCAAAAAGCCUCUUUAGGGGUGAUGUGAAAAUUACUUGACACACAAAUUAAACCCUAUUGAUGACAAUUGUAGUAAUGAUGUAAGUAGGGAUCGUUCUAGACCGGGGAUUAACUACGGAUGCUAAUCAACAAAUAUAAGACU